RNAcentral lists this transfer RNA (77 nucleotides) under archaeon. RNAcentral's name for it is "tRNA-Met". It matches the Rfam family "tRNA". From Rfam's summary of the family: Transfer RNA (tRNA) molecules are approximately 80 nucleotides in length. Their secondary structure includes four short double-helical elements and three loops (D, anti-codon, and T loops). Further hydrogen bonds mediate the characteristic L-shaped molecular structure. tRNAs have two regions of fundamental functional importance: the anti-codon, which is responsible for specific mRNA codon recognition, and the 3' end, to which the tRNAs corresponding amino acid is attached (by aminoacyl-tRNA synthetases). tRNAs cope with the degeneracy of the genetic code in two manners: having more than one tRNA (with a specific anti-codon) for a particular amino acid; and 'wobble' base-pairing, i.e. permitting non-standard base-pairing at the 3rd anti-codon position. The record is from RNAcentral. RNAcentral also lists the same sequence under 1 other name.
GCCGGAGUGGCUCAGCCUGGUUUCAGAGCGCAAGACUCAUAAUCUUGAGGUCGUUGGUUCAAAUCCGACCUCCGGCA